Molecule: ribosomal RNA, 504 nt
Filed under: uncultured bacterium
Lineage: Bacteria
Description: partial 16S ribosomal RNA
Rfam family: Bacterial small subunit ribosomal RNA
Source: RNAcentral
ACGAACGCUGGCGGCGUGCCUAAUCCAUGCAAGUAGAACGCACAGUUUAUACUGUAGCUUGCUACACCAUAGACUGUGAGUUGCGAACGGGUUAGUAACGCGUAGGUAACCUGCCUGGUAGCGGGGGAUAACUAUUGGAAACGAUAGCUAAUACCGCAUAAUAUUAAUUAUUGCAUGAUAAUUAAUUGAAAGGUGCAAUUGCACCACUACCAGAUGGACCUGCGUUGUAUUAGCUAGUAGGUAAGGUAACGGCUCACCUAGGCGACGAUACAUAGCCGACCUGAGAGGGUGAUCGGCGACACUGGGAAUGGGACACGGACCAGACUCCUAAGGGAAGCAGCAGUAGGGAAAUGUGGGCGAUGGACGAAAGUCUGACCGAGCAACGCCGCGUGAGUGAAGAAGGGUGUCGGAUAGUAAAGCUCUGUUGUAAGAGAAGAACGGGUAUGAGAGUGGAAAGUUCACACUGUGACGGUAGCUUACCAGAAAGGGACGGCUAACUACGUG